Molecule: small nuclear RNA, 48 nt
Filed under: Cervus elaphus hippelaphus
Lineage: Eukaryota; Metazoa; Chordata; Mammalia; Artiodactyla; Cervidae
Source: RNAcentral
GUGCUCAAUUCAGCACCACAUAUACUAAAAUUAGAAUGAUACACAGGA